AUGAAAUUCUAUUAUACCAAAGGGACUCGGUAAAGGCGAAGGCAGCCCUCUAUGUAAAAACUGACGUUGAAGGACGAAGGCACAGAGCACAAACAGGAUUAGAUACCCAAGUAGUCUUUGCAGUAAAUGAUGAAUGCCAUAGGUUAGAUUAAGUUUUAAUCAAUUAGUUUAUCAGUAAUGAACUAACUAUUAAACAAUAUUUAGUCUAUAAAUGAAAGUGUAAGCAUUCCACCUCAAGAGUAAUGUGGCAACGCAGGAACUGAAAUCACUAGACCGUUUCUGACACCAGUAGUGAAGUAUGUUGUUUAAUUCGAUGAUCCACGAAAAACCUUACCACAAUUUGAAUAUUUUACAGGAGUUGCACGGCUGUUUUCAGUUAAUGUUGUGAAACUGUGGUUUCCAUGAAAUUAACGCAAUCCCUGGCUUUAUUUUUUUAUUUAUUACAAUAAAGCAUUUGAUCCAGGAUUUGGAAAGAAAAAGGGGACAAAGACAAGUCAUCAUGGCCUUGAUAUUGUGGGCUAUAGACGUGCCACAUAUUCCUACACAAAGAGAUGCAAAAAUGUGAAUUUAAGCUAAUCUCUAAAAAUAGGAUAUAAAUUUUAAGGAUUAUAGUCUGAAACUCGACUAUAUGAAUAAGUAAUUACUAGUAAUCGUGAAUCACCAUGUCACGGUGAAUUUACCUUGGAUUGGUACUAACCACUCGUCACAUGCUGAAAAGAGCAUGCGCAAUAAGUUUGCUUUCUUGAUGAUCAGUAAAAAGAAUAAGCAGAUUCUAUAUUCUAUUAUUAAG
RNAcentral lists this ribosomal RNA (790 nucleotides) under Metarhizium majus. RNAcentral's name for it is "SSU rRNA". It matches the Rfam family "Bacterial small subunit ribosomal RNA", at positions 681 to 1533 of the family's 1533-position model. Lineage: Eukaryota; Fungi; Ascomycota; Sordariomycetes; Hypocreales; Clavicipitaceae. The record is from RNAcentral.